CUGAAGAGUUUGAUCAUGGCUCAGAUUGAACGCUGGCGGCAGGCUUAACACAUGCAAGUCGAGCGGGGAAGGGUAGCUUGCUACCUGACCUAGCGGCGGACGGGUGAGUAAUGCUUAGGAAUCUGCCUAUUAGUGGGGGACAACAUUCCGAAAGGAAUGCUAAUACCGCAUACGCCCUACGGGGGAAAGCAGGGGAUCUUCGGACCUUGCGCUAAUAGAUGAGCCUAAGUCAGAUUAGCUAGUUGGUGGGGUAAAGGCCUACCAAGGCGACGAUCUGUAGCGGGUCUGAGAGGAUGAUCCGCCACACUGGGACUGAGACAUGGCCCAGACUCCUACGGGAGGCA
This 344-nucleotide ribosomal RNA is filed under the name Chaetoceros affinis. RNAcentral describes it as "partial Bacterial small subunit ribosomal RNA". It matches the Rfam family "Bacterial small subunit ribosomal RNA", at positions 1 to 350 of the family's 1533-position model. The record is from RNAcentral. Lineage: Eukaryota; Bacillariophyta; Thalassiosirophyceae; Chaetocerotales; Chaetocerotaceae.